CCCUUAGAUGUUCUGGGCCGCACGCGCGCUACACUGACGAAUUCAACGAGAUUAUAACCUUUGCUGGGAGGCAUGGGUAAUCUUGUGAACGUUCGUCGUGAUGGGGAUAGAUUAUUGCAAUUGUUAAUCUUCAACGAGGAAUUCCUAGUAAACGCAAGUCAUCAGCUUGCAUUGAUUACGUCCCUGCCCUUUGUACACACCGCCCGUCGCACCUACCGAUUGAAUGGUCCGGUGAAUUCUUCGGACUGCGGCUUUGACUCGAUUUCGGUCGAGGCGUUGCUGCGGGAAGUUGAUUAAACCUUACCAUUUAGAGGAAGGUGAANUCGUAACA
This 331-nucleotide ribosomal RNA is filed under the name uncultured eukaryote. RNAcentral's name for it is "partial 18S ribosomal RNA". It matches the Rfam family "Eukaryotic small subunit ribosomal RNA", at positions 1470 to 1796 of the family's 1831-position model. The record is from RNAcentral.